Small nucleolar RNA from Eublepharis macularius, 190 nucleotides. RefSeq annotates it as small nucleolar RNA SNORA74. NCBI's taxonomy places the organism in Eukaryota, Metazoa, Chordata, Lepidosauria, Squamata, Eublepharidae. The record is from RefSeq and is a predicted model, not a curated record. The transcript has a single exon.
UCCAGUGGUAGUCAGCUGUCCGUGACACAACCAUGUCUGUGACAGUGUUACACAACUGGGAGAUGAAACAUUUUAGAUGUUUGUCAUCGUCUCUGUUCUAGAGGCAUCUGACACUAAUCUAUAUUGUGCUUCUCUGAGAGUGUGCUGUACAGUUAAUAACCUGUUCAGCACUAGUCUGAAAGCAUACAUA